This 87-nucleotide transfer RNA is filed under the name Cytophagaceae bacterium. RNAcentral's name for it is "tRNA-Leu". It matches the Rfam family "tRNA". Rfam says of the family: Transfer RNA (tRNA) molecules are approximately 80 nucleotides in length. Their secondary structure includes four short double-helical elements and three loops (D, anti-codon, and T loops). The record is from RNAcentral. Lineage: Bacteria; Pseudomonadati; Bacteroidota; Cytophagia; Cytophagales; Cytophagaceae.
GCCACGGUGAUGGAAUUGGUAUACAUCGGAGACUUAAAAUCUCCCGUCCGAAAGGGCAUACCGGUUCGAGUCCGGUCCGUGGCACCA